Molecule: ribosomal RNA, 483 nt
Filed under: uncultured bacterium
Lineage: Bacteria
Description: partial 16S ribosomal RNA
Rfam family: Bacterial small subunit ribosomal RNA
Source: RNAcentral
GACGAACGCUGGCGGCGUGCCUAACACAUGCAAGUCGAACGAGGUCCAAGGGAGCUUGCUCCCUGACGACCUAGUGGCGAACGGGUGAGUAACACGUGAGAAACCUGCCUCGGAGUGGGGAAUAACUCGGGGAAACUCGAGCUAAUACCGCAUACCUUCACAUGAACGCAUGGUCGAGUGAAGACAGAAUUUCGCUCUGAGAGGGUCUCGCGGCCUAUCAGCUUGUUGGUGGGGUAACGGCCUACCAAGGCAACGACGGGUAGCUGGUUUGAGAGAACGAUCAGCCACACUGGGACUGAGACACGGCCCAGACUCCUACGGGAGGCAGCAGUGGGGAAUCUUGCGCAAUGGGCGAAAGCCUGACGCAGCAACGCCGCGUGCGGGAUGACGGCCUUCGUGGUUGUAAACCGCUUUCAGCAGGGACGAAAAUGACGGUACCUGCAGAAGAAGCCCCGGCUAACUACGUGCCAGCAGCCGCAGUAA